UGGGGAAUAUUGGGCAAUGGGGGCAACCCUGACCCAGCGACGCCGCGUGAGGGAAGAAGGUUUUCGGAUUGUAAACCUCUGUCUUUGGGGACGAAUAAAUGACGGUACCCAAGGAGGAAGCCACGGCUAACUACGUGCCAGCAGCCGCGGUAAUACGUAGGUGGCAAGCGUUGUCCGGAAUUACUGGGUGUAAAGGGAGCGUAGGCGGGGAUUCAAGUUGAAUGUUAAAACGAUCGGCUCAACCGGUCGUCGCGUUCAAAACUAGAUCUCUUGAGUGAAGUAGAGGUAGGCGGAAUUCCUAGUGUAGCGGUGAAAUGCGUAGAUAUUAGGAGGAACACCAGUGGCGAAGGCGGCCUACUGGGCUUAUACUGACGCUGAGGCUCGAAAGUGUGGGUAGCAAACA
This is a ribosomal RNA of 403 nucleotides. It matches the Rfam family "Bacterial small subunit ribosomal RNA", at positions 355 to 774 of the family's 1533-position model.